UGACAUCAUCAACGUGUCGCACAGGUAC
Molecule: non-coding RNA, 28 nt
Filed under: Mus musculus (house mouse)
Lineage: Eukaryota; Metazoa; Chordata; Mammalia; Rodentia; Muridae
Source: RNAcentral